RNAcentral lists this transfer RNA (75 nucleotides) under Candidatus Zixiibacteriota bacterium. RNAcentral's name for it is "tRNA-Glu". It matches the Rfam family "tRNA". From Rfam's summary of the family: Transfer RNA (tRNA) molecules are approximately 80 nucleotides in length. Their secondary structure includes four short double-helical elements and three loops (D, anti-codon, and T loops). The record is from RNAcentral. Lineage: Bacteria; Pseudomonadati; Candidatus Zixiibacteriota.
GUCCCCAUCGUCUAGCCUGGCCUAGGACACUGCCCUUUCACGGCGGCAACAGGGGUUCGAAUCCCCUUGGGGACG